GACGAACGCUGGCGGCGUGCUUAACACAUGCAAGUCGAGCGGUAAGGCCCUUUCGGGGGUACACGAGCGGCGAACGGGUGAGUAACACGUGGGUGACCUGCCCUCAGCUCUGGGAUAAGCCUGGGAAACCGGGUCUAAUACUGGAUAUGACUCCAUGACGCAUGUUGUGGGGUGGAAAGCCUUGUGCGGCUGAGGAUGGGCCCGCGGCCUAUCAGCUUGUUGGGUGGGGUGAGGCCCUACCAAGGCGACGACGGGUAGCCGGCCUGAGAGGGCGACCGGCCACACUGGGACUGAGACACGGCCCAGACUCCUACGGGAGGCAGCAGUGGGGAAUCUUGCGCAAUGGGCGAAAGCCUGACGCAGCGACGCCGCGUGA
This 376-nucleotide ribosomal RNA is filed under the name uncultured bacterium. Its description in RNAcentral is "bacterial SSU rRNA". It matches the Rfam family "Bacterial small subunit ribosomal RNA", at positions 28 to 404 of the family's 1533-position model. The record is from RNAcentral.